RNAcentral lists this ribosomal RNA (472 nucleotides) under Vittaforma corneae. RNAcentral describes it as "bacterial SSU rRNA". It matches the Rfam family "Microsporidia small subunit ribosomal RNA", at positions 200 to 696 of the family's 1311-position model. Lineage: Eukaryota; Fungi; Microsporidia; Nosematidae. The record is from RNAcentral.
CUACCAAGACAGUGACGGUUGACGGGAAAUCAGGGUUUUGUACCGGAGAGGGAGCCUGAGAGAUUGCUCCCACGUCCAAGGACGGCAGCAGGCGCGAAAAUUGCCCACUCUUUGCAGGAGGCAGUUAUGAGACGUGAAGAUGAGUAUCUUGUAAAGAGGGAUAGGAGAAUUGGAGGGCAAGUUUGGUGCCAGCAGCCGCGGUAAUACCGACUCCAAGAGUGUGUAUGAGAGAUGCUGCAGUUAAAAAGUCCGUAGUCAUAGAAGGGCAAAGAGAGACGCGAGGUCUCACAGUGCGAUGAUGGAGGAGCCGAUGGGGAACAUAGUAUACCAGGGCGAGAGAUGAAAUGCCAAGACCCCUGGUGGACUGAGCGAGGCGAAGGCGAUGUUCUUGUAGGCAUUCGGUGAUCAAGGACGAAGGCUGGAGUAUCGAAAGUGAUUAGAUACCGCAGUAGUUCCAGCAGUAAAAGAUGCC